CGAACGCUGGCGGCAGGCCUAAUACAUGCAAGUCGAACGGCUCUUCGGAGCAGUGGCGGACGGGUGAGUAACGCGUGGGAAUGUGCCCUUAGGUACGGAACAACACAGGGAAACUCGCGCUAAUACCGUAUGUGCCCUCCGGGGGAAAGAUUUAUCGCCUUUGGAGCAGCCCGCGUUGGAUUAGGUAGUUGGUGAGGUAAAGGCUCACCAAGCCGACGAUCCAUAGCUGGUCUGAGAGGAUGACCAGCCACACUGGGACUGAGACACGGGCCAGACUCCUACGGGAGGCAGCAGUAGGGAAUCUUGCGCAAUGGGCGAAAGCCUGACGCAGCCAUGCCGCGUGUAUGAUGAAGGUCUUAGGAUUGUAAAAUACUUUCACCGGGGAAGAUAAUGACGGUACCCGGAGAAGAAGCCCCGGCUAACUUCGUGCCAGCAGCCGCCGUAA
Molecule: ribosomal RNA, 445 nt
Filed under: uncultured bacterium
Lineage: Bacteria
Description: partial 16S ribosomal RNA
Rfam family: Bacterial small subunit ribosomal RNA
Source: RNAcentral